Trichonephila clavipes is the source of this 68-nucleotide non-coding RNA. Lineage: Eukaryota; Metazoa; Arthropoda; Arachnida; Araneae; Nephilidae. The record is from the annotation of a GenBank genome assembly.
GCAGGUAUGAUGGAUAUUACACUCGACUUGUAAUCGAGGGGGCUUGUGUUCGAAUCCCGAGUAAGGCA